UCUGCCCUUGAGGCGUGGCUUCCGGAGCUAACGCGUUAAGUCGACCGCCUGGGGAGUACGGCCGCAAGGUUAAAACUCAAAUGAAUUGACGGGGGCCCGCACAAGCGGUGGAGCAUGUGGUUUAAUUCGAUGCAACGCGAAGAACCUUACCUACUCUUGACAUCCAGAGAACUUUCCAGAGAUGGAUUGGUGCCUUCGGGAACUCUGAGACAGGUGCUGCAUGGCUGUCGUCAGCUCGUGUUGUGAAAUGUUGGGUUAAGUCCCGCAACGAGCGCAACCCUUAUCCUUUGUUGCCAGCGGUUAGGCCGGGAACUCAAAGGAGACUGCCAGUGAUAAACUGGAGGAAGGUGGGGAUGACGUCAAGUCAUCAUGGCCCUUACGAGUAGGGCUACACACGUGCUACAAUGGCGCAUACAAAGAGAAGCGACCUCGCGAGAGCAAGCGGACCUCAUAAAGUGCGUCGUAGUCCGGAUUGGAGUCUGCAACUCGACUCCAUGAAGUCGGAAUCGCUAGUAAUCGUAGAUCAGAAUGCUACGGUGAAUACGUUCCCGGGCCUUGUACACACCGCCCGUCACACCAUGGGAGUGGGUUGCAAAAGAAGUAGGUAGCUUAACCUUCGGGAGGGCGCUUACCACUUUGUGAUUCAUGACUG
RNAcentral lists this ribosomal RNA (652 nucleotides) under Enterobacter asburiae. Its description in RNAcentral is "bacterial SSU rRNA". It matches the Rfam family "Bacterial small subunit ribosomal RNA", at positions 825 to 1477 of the family's 1533-position model. The record is from RNAcentral. Lineage: Bacteria; Pseudomonadati; Pseudomonadota; Gammaproteobacteria; Enterobacterales; Enterobacteriaceae.